This is a non-coding RNA of Paramuricea clavata, 362 nucleotides long. NCBI's taxonomy places the organism in Eukaryota, Metazoa, Cnidaria, Anthozoa, Malacalcyonacea, Plexauridae. The record is from the annotation of a GenBank genome assembly.
AGAGGGAACUAUCGAACAAUAGUAUAAAUUCCGAGUAUUGAAAAAUGGCUUUCAAACUAUUGCUUUCAAAACAAAAUGGCUGCCGAAAAUCAACUUGCAAACCUGAAAUCAUCGAAGAAAUAAUUGAAGAAAUUGAAGGACACACUAUUCCUCUAAAAGCAAAAGACGCAAUAAGGGAGGGUGUUUUUACAUGCUUUAUGCACCUUUUACAUGCCUAAAACAAUUUAUUUGGCAAUUUAAAACCGGAAAAUAACAGAAUCGGGUGACAAGAUUCAGACAGCUGGAUUCGUUUGACUCAAAAGCGUAAGAGUGAUGUAAAUUAUAUUUGCAACCUAACGUUUGUAUAUAUUAUUAUUUUUCAG